RNAcentral lists this ribosomal RNA (497 nucleotides) under uncultured bacterium. Its description in RNAcentral is "partial 16S ribosomal RNA". It matches the Rfam family "Bacterial small subunit ribosomal RNA", at positions 28 to 507 of the family's 1533-position model. The record is from RNAcentral.
GAUGAACGCUGGCGGCGUGCCUAAUACAUGCCAGUCGAGCGAACGGACGAGAAGCUUGCUUCUCUGAUGUUAGCGGCGGACGGGUGAGUAACACGUGGAUAACCUACCUAUAAGACUGGGAUAACUUCGGGAAACCAGAGCUAAUACCGGAUGAUAUUUUGAACCGCAUGGUUCAAAAGUGAAAGACGGUCUUGCUGUCACUUAUAGAUGGAUCCGCGCUGCAUUAGCUAGUUGGUAAGGUAACGGCUUACCAAGGCAACGAUGCAUAGCCGACCUGAGAGGGUGAUCGGCCACACUGGAACUGAGACACGGUCCAGACUCCUACGGGAGGCAGCAGUAGGGAAUCUUCCGCAAUGGGCGAAAGCCUGACGGAGCAACGCCGCGUGAGUGAUGAAGGUCUUCGGAUCGUAAAACUCUGUUAUUAGGGAAGAACAUAUGUGUAAGUAACUGUGCACAUCUUGACGGUACCUAAUCAGAAAGCCACGGCUAACUACGUG